ACGGCAGUAGCUCAAUUGGUAGAGCAGCGGUCUCCAAAACCGCAGGUUAGGGGUUCGAUUCCUCUCUGCCGUG
This 73-nucleotide transfer RNA is filed under the name Planctomycetaceae bacterium. Its description in RNAcentral is "tRNA-Trp". It matches the Rfam family "tRNA". Rfam says of the family: Transfer RNA (tRNA) molecules are approximately 80 nucleotides in length. Their secondary structure includes four short double-helical elements and three loops (D, anti-codon, and T loops). Lineage: Bacteria; Pseudomonadati; Planctomycetota; Planctomycetia; Planctomycetales; Planctomycetaceae. The record is from RNAcentral.